RNAcentral lists this transfer RNA (75 nucleotides) under Chaenogobius annularis (forktongue goby). RNAcentral's name for it is "tRNA-Lys". It matches the Rfam family "tRNA". Rfam says of the family: Transfer RNA (tRNA) molecules are approximately 80 nucleotides in length. Their secondary structure includes four short double-helical elements and three loops (D, anti-codon, and T loops). Further hydrogen bonds mediate the characteristic L-shaped molecular structure. tRNAs have two regions of fundamental functional importance: the anti-codon, which is responsible for specific mRNA codon recognition, and the 3' end, to which the tRNAs corresponding amino acid is attached (by aminoacyl-tRNA synthetases). tRNAs cope with the degeneracy of the genetic code in two manners: having more than one tRNA (with a specific anti-codon) for a particular amino acid; and 'wobble' base-pairing, i.e. permitting non-standard base-pairing at the 3rd anti-codon position. Lineage: Eukaryota; Metazoa; Chordata; Actinopteri; Gobiiformes; Gobiidae. The record is from RNAcentral.
CACUAGGAAGCUAAAGUGGAUUAUAGCAUCAGCCUUUUAAGCUGAAAGUUGGUGAUUUCCAACCACCCCUAAUGA